This 1230-nucleotide long non-coding RNA is filed under the name Anas platyrhynchos platyrhynchos (common mallard). RNAcentral's name for it is "lncRNA (ENSAPLG00000016787.1)". Lineage: Eukaryota; Metazoa; Chordata; Aves; Anseriformes; Anatidae. The record is from RNAcentral.
UCUGUGAUCAUUGAUGGUGGAGUAGAUUGUUUGCCAAACUAUUACCAUAACUGUCAACCGAAAUCAGAAAAAUAAUCUCAUUGUGCUGGACAGAUGCCUUUCCUGCAUUAUUGAUAUAGUCACUCCAGAGUAAUAGAGAAAUAUAAAGCAUUGUUCUAUUUACAAAAGGAGAUUGGCCAAGUCCUUGAGAGUGAGCGGGAGGGACAGGCACUUAAAGGAAGUGAGAUAUAGUCAACUCAGUAAAAGUUAUGUGUCAGGGUCAUGUGGCCUCCAUAGUCAGCAGUAGAAUCUCAGUUUUCAAUAGCUUUUCCUCUCCUUUCUCACUUUCAGAUUUAGCUCCAUAACUUAAUCUCUGACUAAAUGAGCUUCCCAGGGUUUCAGUGCAGCACUGUGGAAUUCACACAGCUUUUCCCCCUUUCCUCUGGCUGCCAGCAUGACAACCCGAAAUGCAUCUCAGGGACUGCUGCAUUUCCAGAAUAUGCAAAACCACUUCAUCUUCACCGCGCGACUCUGUGUAGCAAGGAUAAAUCAGAGAUUUGUAAAAGGAACUGCAUUUGAAGAAAGAAGGGAAAGUAUGUAUUGUGCUUGGAAAGUGAGAGGUAUCUGGCGUAAAUAUUCUUUGUCUUCAUAUCUGAAAACUUUUCACAGGAGAUGAGAAGUAACCCAGCUUCCCACAGCACUCUGCAGAUACAGCUUUUGCUACAAGCAGCCCACUUACCUAAAAUACCUGCUGGUGUAACCUGGCACUAGAGUUACCACCCCAAGGACCAACAAAAUCAACAUCUCCUCAAAUAGAUAUCACUCAAAACAGAAAAGCAUUUUUUGUUUGUUUGUUUUGUUUUUGUUGUUUUGUAAGGAGCUUCUUGAAACAAGCCAAACUUGUAUCCAUGCAAUGUUUGUACUACUCCAGCCCCAAGGAGCCAUUGUACCUCAUGCUCCUCCCUUAGGCCCUCAGAGAAGCAAGAUGUUUCUAACAGGCAGCUCGCUGAGAAAAAUUUGUAAGCAAUAAGCGUGGACAAGGACCUGUCUAACUCAACCAAACUCAGUAAGAGAUUUAGGGUAGGCACUGGUCCAUGUUUCACUCAGAAGAGCACUAAGCUGCAAGGGACACCCACUAAGUACCUCUCUGUUCUGUGCCAUACCACAGGGUACAUACACUAUUCAGAUUUCUAUUCUGCCCACCAAAAUAUUUGAAAUAAAGUUGUCAAACCUCACGAUUUUCUGUGGAGC